RNAcentral lists this ribosomal RNA (400 nucleotides) under Pseudomonas sp. BS15-33. RNAcentral describes it as "bacterial SSU rRNA". It matches the Rfam family "Bacterial small subunit ribosomal RNA", at positions 1 to 416 of the family's 1533-position model. The record is from RNAcentral. Lineage: Bacteria; Pseudomonadati; Pseudomonadota; Gammaproteobacteria; Pseudomonadales; Pseudomonadaceae.
GCAGGCAGGACUCUACACAUCAUAGCAAGUCACACGUCUGCGUUAGCAGCAUGUAAGACUUCUCGCGUUCUCUUGAGAGCUGGCAGGACGGGUGAGUAAUGCCUAGGAAUCUGCCUGGUAGUGGGGGAUAACGUUCGGAAACGGACGCUAAUACCGCAUACGUCCUACGGGAGAAAGCAGGGGACCUUCGGGCCUUGCGCUAUCAGAUGAGCCUAGGUCGGAUUAGCUAGUUGGUGAGGUAAUGGCUCACCAAGGCGACGAUCCGUAACUGGUCUGAGAGGAUGAUCAGUCACACUGGAACUGAGACACGGUCCAGACUCCUACGGGAGGCAGCAGUGGGGAAUAUUGGACAAUUGGGCGAAAGCCUGAUCCAGCCAUUGCCGCGUGUGUGAAGAAGGUC